This 417-nucleotide ribosomal RNA is filed under the name uncultured Porphyromonadaceae bacterium. RNAcentral describes it as "bacterial SSU rRNA". It matches the Rfam family "Bacterial small subunit ribosomal RNA", at positions 355 to 770 of the family's 1533-position model. The record is from RNAcentral. Lineage: Bacteria; Pseudomonadati; Bacteroidota; Bacteroidia; Bacteroidales; Porphyromonadaceae.
UGAGGAAUAUUGGUCAAUGGACGGAAGUCUGAACCAGCCAUGCCGCGUGAAGGAAUAAGGCCCUAUGGGUCGUAAACUUCUUUUGUGGUGGAGCAAUAAGAUCUACGCGUAGGUCGAUGAGAGUACAUCACGAAUAAGCAUCGGCUAACUCCGUGCCAGCAGCCGCGGUAAUACGGAGGAUGCGAGCGUUAUCCGGAUUUAUUGGGUUUAAAGGGUGCGCAGGCGGCGCGCCAAGUCAGCGGUCAAAGUUCCGGGCUCAACCCGGUGUCGCCGUUGAAACUGGCGUGCUCGAGUGCGUGCGAGGAAGGCGGAAUGCGUUGUGUAGCGGUGAAAUGCAUAGAUAUGACGCAGAACUCCGAUUGCGAAGGCAGCUUUCCAGCGCGCUACUGACGCUGAGGCACGAAAGCGUGGGGGAUC